This 502-nucleotide ribosomal RNA is filed under the name uncultured Glomeromycotina. Its description in RNAcentral is "partial small subunit ribosomal RNA". It matches the Rfam family "Eukaryotic small subunit ribosomal RNA", at positions 591 to 1092 of the family's 1831-position model. Lineage: Eukaryota; Fungi; Glomeromycota. The record is from RNAcentral.
CCAAUAGCGUAUAUUAAAGUUGUUGCAGUUAAAAAGCUCGUAGUUGAACUUCGGGGUCUACCCAUUGGUCAGGCUUAAUUGUCUGCACUGGUGAGAUGGAUCUCUACCUUCUGAGGAACUUUCAUGCCAUUUAUUUGGUGUGAUGGGAAAUCAGGACUGUUACUUUGAAAAAAUUAGAGUGUUUAAAGCAGACUAUCGUCUGAAUACAUUAGCAUGGAAUAAUGAAAUAGGACGGACUGAUUCUAUUUCGUUGGUUUCUAGGAUCACCGUAAUGAUUAAUAGGGAUAGUUGGGGGCAUUAGUAUUCAAUUGUCAGAGGUGAAAUUCUUGGAUUUAUUGAAGACUAACUACUGCGAAAGCAUUUGCCAAGGAUGUUUUCAUUAAUCAAGAACGAAAGUUAGGGGAUCGAAGACGAUCAGAUACCGUCGUAGUCUUAACCAUAAACUAUGCCGACUAGGGAUCGGACGAAGUUAAUCUUAUAAUGACGCGUUCGGCACCUUACG